Molecule: ribosomal RNA, 254 nt
Filed under: uncultured bacterium
Lineage: Bacteria
Description: partial 16S ribosomal RNA
Rfam family: Bacterial small subunit ribosomal RNA
Source: RNAcentral
UACGUAGGGUGCAAGCGUUUGUCCGGAAUUAUUGGGCGUAAAGAGCUCGUAGGCGGUUUGUCGCGUCUGCUGUGAAAACGCGAGGCUCAACCUCGCGCCUGCAGUGGGUACGGGCAGACUAGAGUGUGGUAGGGGAGAUUGGAAUUCCUGGUGUAGCGGUGGAAUGCGCAGAUAUCAGGAGGAACACCGAUGGCGAAGGCAGAUCUCUGGGCCGGAACUGACGCUGAGGAGCGAAAGCGUGGGGAGCAAACAGG